UGAAACUGCAGUGCAGAUGUUCUGGUUCU
Molecule: non-coding RNA, 29 nt
Filed under: Homo sapiens (human)
Lineage: Eukaryota; Metazoa; Chordata; Mammalia; Primates; Hominidae
Source: RNAcentral